Molecule: long non-coding RNA, 459 nt
Organism: Selaginella moellendorffii
Lineage: Eukaryota; Viridiplantae; Streptophyta; Lycopodiopsida; Selaginellales; Selaginellaceae
Exons: 3
Source: RefSeq, a predicted model, not a curated record
GCCAUUUCUGAGAUCGAUGAAUAUGUGCAGGUCAAGGGAAACCAGCUGGUUGAAGCUUCUCUGCAUUAGUUCCCUGACUCACCCACAGAGCCGAUCUCGGAAGAGUUCACACGCGCCUUCACCACGCAGGAGGUUCGGGAUAAGUUUGCAGCCUGGAGAGCAUCCUUGUUAUCGGAGGACAUUACGAUUCCGGAUGGGUCGCACCCUGUUGGCCGGUUGCUCCAAGUGAGUGCGGCGCUGGACUCGAAGGAAAGUUUGGUAGUUCGCACCUGAUGGUGGGCAUGCUAGCCCCAUGGAUUAACGUGAGGUUUUCUCGUGGAGGUGUAAAGUGAGCGUGUCAACUUAGACUUCUAACUACAACCUGUAAUAUCUUAGAAUCAUUGUCUUUAGCCAGAGCGUGUUUCUAAAUUGUUUGGAUCCCAUAUUGUUCUGCAAAAAUUACAAAAAGAUUCACGUAAA